Heteronotia binoei (common prickly gecko) is the source of this 104-nucleotide small nuclear RNA. The record is from RefSeq and is a predicted model, not a curated record. Lineage: Eukaryota; Metazoa; Chordata; Lepidosauria; Squamata; Gekkonidae.
GUUCAAGUGCUUGCACAUAGACUAAAAUUGGAACGAUACAGAGAAUAUUAGCAGGGCCCCUGAGCAAGGAUGAGAUGCAUAGUACAGUAUGUUAGAUCAGUGGU